ACUGGAGUUUGAUCCUGGCUCAGAUUGAACGCUGGCGGAAUGCUUUACACAUGCAAGUCGAACGGUAGAGGGGGCAACCCCUCGAGAGUGGCGAACGGGUGAGUAAUAUAUCGGAACGUGCCCAGUCGUGGGGGAUAACGUAGCGAAAGUUACGCUAAUACCGCAUACGAUCUAAGGAUGAAAGCGGGGGACCUAAGGCCUCGCGCGAUUGGAGCGGCCGAUAUCAGAUUAGGUAGUUGGUAGGGUAAAGGCCUACCAAGCCAACGAUCUGUAGCUGGUCUGAGAGGACGACCAGCCACACUGGAACUGAGACACGGUCCAGACUCCUACGGGAGGCAGCAGUGGGGAAUAUUGGACAAUGGGGCGAAAGCCUGAUCCAGCAAUGCCCGCGUGAGUGAUGAAGGCCUUAGGGUUGUAAAGCUCUUUUACCAGGGGAUGAUAAUGACAGUACCUGGAGAAUAAGCUCCGGCUAACUCCGUGCCAGCAGCCGCGGUAAUCUGAUGGCGCGAGGGAG
Molecule: ribosomal RNA, 514 nt
Filed under: uncultured Limnohabitans sp.
Lineage: Bacteria; Pseudomonadati; Pseudomonadota; Betaproteobacteria; Burkholderiales; Comamonadaceae
Description: partial 16S ribosomal RNA
Rfam family: Bacterial small subunit ribosomal RNA
Source: RNAcentral